UUGAAAUUGUAAAAACAUUAACCUUUUAUAAUUUCCAGAAGGGCCUCGUCUAAUUCCAGAUUUUGGUUAAGGAAAAUGAUGUAACCCAGUUUAUCAAGUCUCUGUGGAUGUAUUUUGUUUUUCAUCACCAUGAGGUUUCGAAUUCAGACAGCUCUUACAAUCAACAGACAGCUUCCAGACUCCAAGUACUGAGAUUCAUGUAUUGGGCAUGAAAGACUUCCAUUGCUUGUUGCAAAUUACAAAUCUUAUCUGUGAAUCAACUUGGAUGGCCUAUAAGAAAUUAAUUGUUAGUUAAGAUUAUUCUCAAACCGUGAAGGGAUCAUCUCACUUCAUGACAUGAAAAAGCUUGAUCACUCACGGGAAUGGACCAUGUAUGACAAUCAAGCAAGUAACCUUUUUCUCCAUAAAAUCUGGCCGAUGAAAUCACAUGAAUGUACACGAGACAGCAAAAAAGCGAGAGAGAGAUUAGGUUGCGUUUGGUUUGUGUGUCAUGAUAGAAAAGAUAAAUACAGAAAAGAUAGAAACGUGUUUAGUUAGAGAGAUGAAGAUGGAAACAUAAAAUAAAUCAUAAUUUUGAAGUGAAUUUUUUUACCUUCAAAAUAGAAAAGACGAAGAUCUCCAUUAUCUCAAUCUCUUUUAUCUCAAAAGAGUAUAGUUACAAGACUAACGCUCAAAUACAAAAGAGAUAGACAGGUGUUUGAUUGGAGAUCAGGUGAGGAUAAAAUUAUAAAAUAAAUCACAAUUUUAAAGUGAAUUUCUACAUUUUUAAAAUAAAAAUGAUAAAGGGAUAUGUCUCUAUUAUCCCGUCUCUUCUGUCUCAAAACAUAGACUCUAGAAACGCAUGCCCUCGCAUGAUUUUCUUUCUUUCUCUCAUGCAUUCAAAGCUACAAAAAAGUGCAUCAUCCAUCACAAGAAGACAAGUGAAGAACAAAACGACUUGCAAAAAAGGAGGGUUAACUAGUAGUGGUGUGGAGCUACUUGCAUGUGACAUUGUCACAAGCAUUACUUCAUAGCUAUAUAUAUAUAUAUUUAACACCCAAACCAAACCCUGCGAAGAGGACCGUUCCUUGUGAAGAUAUCUCUUUUCAUUAUCUUAUGAGAAUCUAAACUAAAAAAAGAAUGGUGUGUGUGCGUGAGAGAGAGAGGGAGGGGGGGAAGUCAUGGAAGGUAUGAUUUCUAAGAGUGUCCAUAGAAGACCCACUAAGGAUAAAAGGUGGAAGAUUUGGUAUAGUUUUUUGUUCUUGGCCAUUUCCUUCUCUAGUGGAUGGUGAUGGUGAUGAGGAAGGACCCUUGGGGUCUGCCUUACACUUUAGCAUCCAAAAACCAAAUGAUUACAAUCACAAAAAAACCAAUAAGAGGAAAUGAAACUAACAAAGUGCUUGCUUGCCUUGCAUGUGAAUAGCACUUGCAUAGGAAGACAAAGGGCUCCCCAUGUUUUUCCCUAUGAGUCUAUUAAUUGGAUUUGGAUGCUGUCACUGUUCUUCCAUAUGAUCCAUUCAUUUUCCUUCACUUUUCCAUUGCUUUUCCAACCAUCCAUUUCUUCAACUCUUCUUGUUGAUACAUAUCCUUUCUCCGCAUUUAAUUUUCCUUUUGUAUUUUUUUGGUGGUUCAAGUGUUGCAUUGCAUAAUACUGGUUCCACAUAUUCUGUGCAACAAUUAUGGUGUCUUUCACAUAUCUUGUGUUCCCUUCCUCCUCUGUUGGCCAUAUGCAGCUGUAGUUGACUCUGCAGACAAGACAGUGAUCCCAUAAAAUGAAGGGCUAGAAAUUAUUUCUUGAGUUGCAUAGUAGGGCUCAAGCCAGUCAAAGAUAGCAGGCUGUUCUUGCUAUUAAUAUACUACUUUGUAAUUCUUUCAGC
Molecule: long non-coding RNA, 1856 nt
Filed under: Populus trichocarpa (black cottonwood)
Lineage: Eukaryota; Viridiplantae; Streptophyta; Magnoliopsida; Malpighiales; Salicaceae
Description: long non-coding RNA (PTRI_LNC001903)
Source: RNAcentral